UUACACUUAGAACUCGGCCGAGUCGUCUCGGAGACACCACGGUGCUCUUGGCCUCGCACCCACCUGCGUUCUCCCCCUCCUCCCCCUCUCCUUCCCCAAUCCUAACCCUAAAUUUUGCGCCUCCUCCAAUCCAUCCAUCCAUCCGCCAUGACGAAUCACAACAGCAAGAAGCGCAGGCGACCCCUGAAGACCAAGAAAAGUAAGAAGAAACCCCCGGCGCUGCGGCCGCAGAACGCGAACCCCGCCCAAGACGACGAUCCCGUCCUCUUCGGCGGCACCACCGACGAGGACCGACCCUCUGCCGCUCCCAACUCCGAAGUGAUCCAGGACCUCCUCGAGCUCUGCACCAAGGAGCAGCUGAUCGGCUUCCUCCUUGACGCCGCUGCCACCGACUCCGGCCUCCCCGCCUGCAUCCGCGCCGCAGCCGACCGCGACGUCUCUCACCGCAAGGUCUUCGUCCACGGCCUCGGCUGGGACGCCACCCGCGACGCCCUCCUCGAGGCCUUCGGCACCUACGGCCCCGUCGAAGACUGCAACGUCGUAAUCGACAGAGCCACCGGCUGCGCCAAGGGCUACGGCUUCGUCCUCUUCCGCACCCGCGCCGGCGCUGUCGAGGCCCUCAAGCAGCCGCAGAAGAGGAUCAGGAACCGACCCGUGUUCUGCCAGUUCGCUGCAGUCGGCCCCGCCUCGACCGGAGACACGGCCGGGAGGAAGGUUUACGUGAGCAACGUGCCCGCGAACGCAACCCUGGAUAAACUGAGGUCGUUCUUCUCUCGUUUCGGCGAGAUCGAGGCGGUGCCUUCUGGUUUCGACAUGCUCACGGGGAAGUGGAAGGGUUAUGCCAUCUUUCUCUACAAGAAACUGGAGGGAGCUAGGAAGGCGCUCGAGGAGCCCUACAAGGUGUUCGAGGGCCACCGGCUGCACUGUCAGCCGGCUGCCGAGCCUUCCCAAAGAGGGAAAGCACCAGCUCCGUCCACCAACACUGCUUCCUCGGUCGCUUUGUUGGGACCGGCCCCGCAGCCGGUGCUGGCGGCCGUGGCGGCUACGCAGAAUCUUAUGUUGUACCGCCAGAACCCCGCAUACGCGGCACUGCUGAGGCGUAAUCCGCUUCUGGCAGCCGCGGCCCUCGAUCCUGCUGCAGCUGCAGCGCUUAACCCAGCGGCGGGAGCAGGAUUGCUUUCGCCUCCGGGACAGGGACUGAGGGGAGUGGGGUUGGCAAGCGGAGCUCCUUCGCUCCUUGGGCCAUAUGGUUCUCAAGGAGCGACAGGUUUGCAUGGUAUGCAAUUGCACCAGGUGUCUCAGCUCCGGCAGUCAUCACCCACAAGGCUUAGCGGCUAGCUGGUUCUCCUGAGGAUUUACUUCACAUCUCUGGUAACUGAUGUUUUCUUGAUUUUUCUUCAAAGAUUUUGUGUGUUACCUCUCUCUCUCUCUCUCUCUCUCUCUCUCUCUCUCUCAAUCUCCAUUCUAUUUAUUUUAUAUGUGCCUUUUAAGGGGCUUAGCUUCUUGUAUCAGAAACAAGAAGGUACAAACCUUUUGUUGUUUGUUUUUCUUUUGGAUAUUUAAAUUAGACCAUACAAAAGAAUUUUUGUUUCAGUAAUUUUUUUUCGGUUAAGGAUUACUAAUUUCAAAGACAUAAUAUUAGCCAUCACAUUCAGCCGUCCUUUUUUUCCCUUCUGUUUGAUAAUUGUGAAGAUAUUGAAGCUGGUUUGUUUUCUGAAACCUAAAGACCUACUACAGUUUAAUUCAAGGAAAUUAUAUUAGUUGGGGCACUGUUACACCCAAUUGAGAAUUAAAGUGUUUGAUGCUUUUCAUUUGGAAGAUGGUUAGAAGAUUUCCAGAAGGCUUCCAUGGAGCCUCAUCUUGUUGAGUUGCUGCAGGACUUUCUAGUUCCUAGUAGCAAAGCACAUUCUGGGCAUACACAUUGUAAUGUGGUAAUCAACCAUACAUAUAGCGAUGCACACCCUAGAGUAUGGGUCUAACUUAAUCCGCUUGAAAAACAAAAAGGUUUGUGUGUAAAUUUAGUUUGUUGUUCAGAUGUGGACCCUUGAUAUGCCUGGUAAGAUCAUCUAUAACGAGUGCAAAAAGAUAAUGGUGAUGCAACUUUUACCUUGUUAACACACGUUGGACGGUGAUAUCUGAGGUCAAGUGGGUAGUGUGUGUUUAAAACCCACUGAAAACAUCAGGUGUGUGGGUGUACAUUGGGCAUGUUACCAGAAUGCCUGAUAUUUUCUACUUGAUUUAGCUCCAAAUCCCUUUAAAGUAAAGUAAGUAGGGACUGAACCAUAAUAUAUACCUGAAGACCCAAGUGGGUGUAUCUUUUGGUGGGUGGUAACUGGUCAGAUCCCAAGCGAAUUUUAUGUUUAAUCGAGAGUGAUGACUUAGAAUAUAGUAUCACUAUGUUAUCAUUAAUAUGCUGACAUCUUGUAGUUUAUUGUUUAUAUAAGUUAUAAUUAACUAGUUAUGGUGAAACUAAUACAUGUGUAUGUUUAUAUAUACCCUGUUCAAAGUAAAAUAAAGUUAUCAGCUGCAUAAUUUCCUAAACCACUGAAAAAUUCCCCCUAGUCUAGCCAAAAUGGCCAAAGUUAUUGAAACUACUUUUUAUCAGUGAAAAAGUUACUGUAUAGAACUCUGAAAAUUAAAAUUCUAAGUUGAGCUGCCAACUAGUUUCUAAAGAACUAUUAUAUAAUAGUUCGAGGCAUGUGAAAUAGUUGUGAAUACUUUGUUUUUAGUACCUUAGUUGAUGAAGAUGAGCAAUUCUGCUCUAGAAUAUGAUUGGUAAGAAUUUCAAAUCCUUGUAUCAUUUUUUUAUACAAUGAUUCUUUACUUUUUAAUAUCUAUGAAUUUUUAAUGAAUGUCCUUUUUCUAUCAUUUCUUUCUACCUAUUAUGUAGUUUAACCAUGUGGCGUUUGCUCUUUUCCCCUCUGUUCUAUUUGUUUAUUGUGGAAUAUUGGCUUUUAGCCAUGCUAUUUACCAUAUCAGAACAUAAUCAGUAUGUGCAACAAUUAUGAUUCAUUUCUUUAGUGAAACCUGCCGGUUUAGAAAAGUUCAUGAGAUAUUUUAUUCUGAUUUUUUGAUGUACUUUGGACCCUCAUUUACAGAUGUGAUGAAGCAAGUACAUGUUAUCAUCUUCAAACAUUAUAGCAUUCUAUGGAUGCAGUUCAUUUCUUUAGUGAAACAUGUUGGUUUGAAAAAGUUUAUGCAGCAUUUUCUUCCACUUUGUUGACAUACUUUGGACCCUCAUUUGCAGAUGUGAUGAAGCAAACACUUUCUUAUUAUAUGAUAGCACUUCAACAAGUGUGAUGAAGCAAGUACGUGGAGGAACUUAUUGGCAUCCUCAAGGGUGUUUCAGGAGGUCACAUGAUAAUUAUUGAACCGAGUAAAUUGUAACAACAGAGGAUGAAUUCUGAGACCGGACACAAGUGUCACUGCAGAGAGGCUAUUAACCUGCUGCAGUUUGUUUGCAGAGGGACGAUCGGUUUAAUCAUGAAUUUUAUCAUGUUGUAACCUUACAAUUUCCCUGUACAAUCUGCAGGUCAAUCCAGCCACAUGAUCUGAUGAAGGCUCUCUCUUUCUCUCUCUCUGUACACCGAUUCAGCAGGGUUGGUUGGUUUUACGUAGCUUAUAAUUCUAUUUUGAAUCAGUUGUAAGAUUGAAACGUAGCUUAUAAUUCAGUAGGGUUGGUUGGUUUUACGUAGCUUA
This is an RNA transcript of Musa acuminata AAA Group (dessert banana), 3699 nucleotides long. It is a transcript of the gene named UBP1-associated protein 2B, with no coding region annotated. Lineage: Eukaryota; Viridiplantae; Streptophyta; Magnoliopsida; Zingiberales; Musaceae. The transcript is spliced from 3 exons. The record is from RefSeq and is a predicted model, not a curated record.